This 24-nucleotide non-coding RNA is filed under the name Cricetulus griseus (Chinese hamster). Lineage: Eukaryota; Metazoa; Chordata; Mammalia; Rodentia; Cricetidae. The record is from RNAcentral.
AUCCACCGUCAAGGAGGCGUCCGA